RNAcentral lists this ribosomal RNA (549 nucleotides) under uncultured bacterium. RNAcentral's name for it is "bacterial SSU rRNA". It matches the Rfam family "Archaeal small subunit ribosomal RNA", at positions 726 to 1270 of the family's 1478-position model. The record is from RNAcentral.
AGUAAAUAGAUACCCAGGUAGUCCUAGCCGUAAACGAUACUCGCUAGGUGUCGGCCACGGUGCGACCGUUGUCGGUGCCGUAGGGAAAGCCGUGAAGCGAGCCACCUGGGAAGUACGGCCGCAAGGCUGAAACUUAAAGGAAUUGGCGGGGGAGCACCACAACGGGUGGAGCUUGCGGUUUAAUUGGAUUCAACGCCGGAAAUCUUACCGGGACCGACAGCAACAUGAAGGCCAGGCUGAAGACUUUGCCGGAUUAGCUGAGAGGUGGUGCAUGGCCGUCGUCAGUUCGUACUGUGAAAGCAUCCUGUUAAGUCAGGCAACGAGCGAGACCCACGCCCACAGUUGCCAGCGUACUCUCCGGAGUGACGGGUACACUGUGGGGACCGCCGCUGCUAAAGCGGAGGAAGGAAUGGGCAACGGUAGGUCAGUAUGCCCCGAAUAUCCCGGGCUACACGCGAGCUACAAUGGUUGGUACAAUGGGUAUCUACCCCGAAAGGGGAUGGAAAUCUCCUAAAGCCAAUCUUAGUUCGGAUUGAGGGCUGCAACUCG